UAAAUAUAGCAGAUAUGCCCGGAUUUCAAACACGGUUUAGCAACAGUCACACACACACAGUUUCAUGGACAGCUUCUUUCUUUCUGCAUUGUCUGCAGGAACAGGAACAGUGACUCUAAACGGCAAACAGUGGGAGCCGUUCCAGUAUCAAUAAGGAUUAUGACAAGGGAGCGAGUUUGUUUGCUUGGCUGCAAAGGCCUUGGAAUCCAGUGCAUUAGACACAAUUAUACACACUCCAUCUUCUGUGAGCGUCACUCCCAGCUGGCACGAGAGGUCUGAGACUGUCGGCACAUCAGGAAAAAUCCUCCUAAAAGCCUGGAGUGUGCAGGAUGAAUUCCCACCUUUGUUCUUGAGGGAACAGCACUAAGCACCACCAAAGGUAAAACGUGCUGCCUUUCCCUCGCAAAAUUCUGAACUGACUAUGGAAGGCCUCAGCUCAACCCCUGCAGGCAAGCAUCAGCAUCCUGGAAAUCACCACUCCAACUCUGCAGAGGGAUGUCAGCUCGUGAGAAGCGGUGCAGCGCGAAAGCUCUUGUGGCAGCUGUCUGUUAUGUCUGGGACGAUGGAAGUUAAAUUUGUUUGCUCACAGCUAUGCAAAUGCUGUCGCUGAUGUGCUGCUCCCUUAACCUGUCUCAUGUAUGUCUCUGGGUGUAACUUCCAGCGCUUAUUCCUCCAGGGGAUUCCUUUUGGUUUGUGGGUAUUUUUUUUUUUCUUUAUCUAAACAGGACUGGUGCCUUUCUGUCAACUUAAAGCAUGACCACCGACAAGAGGUAGCAAAUGAAAGCAGUGACAAUAUGGAGAGGAAGGGGCAAAGGCUGUGCAAAGAAAAACCAUGCAGAAGAAGGCCGGGUUUGCUUACAUUCCUCGUACCAGUGAAAGGACUCCUGUCCCUAGUCUGGACUCACUGA
RNAcentral lists this long non-coding RNA (908 nucleotides) under Apteryx owenii (little spotted kiwi). RNAcentral's name for it is "lncRNA (ENSAOWG00000010060.1)". The record is from RNAcentral. Lineage: Eukaryota; Metazoa; Chordata; Aves; Apterygiformes; Apterygidae.